Molecule: long non-coding RNA, 326 nt
Organism: Alligator mississippiensis (American alligator)
Lineage: Eukaryota; Metazoa; Chordata; Crocodylia; Alligatoridae
Exons: 3
Source: RefSeq, a predicted model, not a curated record
UCUUCAGUGCCGACAGCAGUGACAUCCUUCUUGUUUGCCUCCCACUUUCAGGAACUGCUCAGACCUGCCAGGACAACGUGUGGUGGGAGCACCUGCUGCUGAAGUUCCUGAACAGGACACUGCAGACCAUUGACGACGAUGCCUGGAGCAGAGAGCUGAUCCUGGAGCUGCAGCUGCAGACAGCCAGCUAUGCCUGCUCCUCCCCGGAGAAGACUUUCCUAUAUAAGGCACUUGGUACCACGCUGGCCUCUUGCCAGGAUGUUGCCUACGUGAAAUCCCAGCUCCAGAAAUUUCUGAAGGACACAGAUUACACGGACGCUUCGGAG